UGCCGCUUGCGAGGGCGUAUGGUGGAUGCCUUGGCAGACAGUACCGAUGAAGGACGUUUGAGGAUGCGAUAAUCCUAGGGGAGCCUCCAACAUGGCUUUGAUCCUAGGGUCUCCGAAUGGGGGAACCCGCCGGCCGUCAUGGGCCGGCACCGCCUAUGGGCGGGGGGUACGCAGGGAAGUGAAACAUCUCAGUACCUGCAGGAAGGGAUACUCCGUGAGUAGUGGCGAGCGAAAGCGGAUCAGACCAAACCGGUUGCGCGUGAUACCCGUCGGGGGUUGCGUUGCCGGUGUCGUGGGAUCACGUGUCCCGGUUCCGACGGGCCGGGCGGGAGUCAUAAAACGGCUUGCCAGGGGAACAGGCUUGAAGGCCUGGCCGUAGAGGGUGCCAGCCCCGUACCUGGACGUGAGCCGUCUUCCGAUCGUGUUGUCCCAAGUAGCGCGGGCCUCGUGGAAUCCCGCGUGAAUCAGCCCAGACCGUUGGGUAAGUCUAAGCAUACCUGUCUGACCGAUAGCGUACCAGUACCGUGAGGGAAAGGUGAAAAGCACCCCGGGAGGGGAGUGAAACAGUUCCUGAAACCGUGCGCCCACAAACCGUCGGAGCCUCCUUGUGGGGUGACGGCGUGCCUAUCGAAAAAUGAGUCUGCGAGUCAGUGGCGGGUGGCGAGCAUAAGCCGUGUGGCGUAUGCGUAGCGAAAGCGAGUCUUAAAAGGCGUUUUCAGUCGCUUGUCCUGGACCCGAAGCGGGAUGAUCUAGCCCUGGGCAGGUUGAAGCGCGGGUAAGACCGCGUGGAGGACCGAACCCACCUGGGUUGAAAACCGGGGGGAUGACCUGGGGCUAGGGGUGAAAGGCCAAUCAAAUUCCGUGAUAGCUGGUUCUCUCCGAAAUGCAUUUAGGUGCAGCGUCGGUCGAUUGCGUCGCGGGGGUAGAGCUACCGGAUGCUUGCGGGCCCUUGUUGGGUACCAACAGCAGCCGAACUCCGAAUACCGUUGACGUGUAUUCCGGCAGUGAGUCGGCGGGGGAUAAGCUCCGUCGUCGAGAGGGAGACAGCCCAGACCGUCGUCUAAGGUCCCGAAGCGUGUGCUAAGUGGGAAAGGAUGUGGAGUCGCAUAGACAGCCAGGAGGUUGGCUCAGAAGCAGCCAUCCUUGAAAGAGUGCGUAACAGCUCACUGGUCUAGUGGUUCCGCGCCGACAAUGUAGCGGGGCUCAAGCACACCACCGAAGACGCGGCAGCAAUCUUCAUGGUUGCUGGGUAGGAGAGCGUCCUGCAUGGGGCGAAGCGGCGGUGGAAACCGGCCGUGGACCGUGUGGGAGUGAGAAUGCAGACAUGAGUAGCGAGAGACGGGUGAGGAUCCCGUCCGCUGGAUGACCAAGGGUUCCGGGGCCACGUUCGUCGUCCCCGGGUGAGUCGGGUCCUAAGGCGAGGCCGACAGGCGUAGUCGAAUGGAUGAACGGGUGGAUAUUCCCGUACCGACCAUGGACCGGCAAAACCGAGACGGUGAGUACUAACCUCCGCCUCGUGGUGGUUCCUUCCUUCGGGUUGGUUCCGCCGCGUGGCGUUGGGAGCGUAGCCGUAGUAGGUCAGCGCAGGGGUGACACGGAAUGGGAGCCGGCCGCGGAGGUGGUUUUCCGUGGUCAAGCACGCAGCCAGUCAUGUAGGCAAAUCCGCAUGGCGUGCAUGGCGAGGUGUGAUGAUGGGAGCCGUUAUGGCUCGAUAUCCGGUUGUCCAGGCCGUCGAGAAAAGCCUCGGCGUGAGGGCCAUGGCCGCCCGUACCCCAAACCGACACUGGUGGUCAGGUAGAGAAUACCAAGGCGAUCGAGCGAAUCCUGGUCAAGGAACUCGGCAAAUCACUCCCGUGCCUUCGGUAUAAGGGAGACCCGCUGGGGUGAAGGACCUUGCGUCCGGAGCUUUGGUGGGUGGCACAGACCAGGGGGUAGCGACUGUUUACCAAAAACACAGGUGCAUGCGAAGGCGAAAGCCGCUGUAUAUGCACUGACGCCUGCCCGGUGCCGGAAGGUUAAGAGGAUCCGUCAGUCCUUCGGGAUGAAGCGGUGAAUUCAAGCCCCGGUAAACGGCGGUGGUAACUAUAACCAUCCUAAGGUAGCGAAAUUCCUUGUCGGGUAAGUUCCGACCUGCACGAAUGGCGUAACGA
This 2150-nucleotide ribosomal RNA is filed under the name human gut metagenome. RNAcentral describes it as "bacterial LSU rRNA". It matches the Rfam family "Bacterial large subunit ribosomal RNA", at positions 1 to 2007 of the family's 2925-position model. The record is from RNAcentral.